Collariella sp. IMI 366227 is the source of this 119-nucleotide non-coding RNA. The record is from the annotation of a GenBank genome assembly. Lineage: Eukaryota; Fungi; Ascomycota; Sordariomycetes; Sordariales; Chaetomiaceae.
GGGUGACUAGUCUAGUGGUCAGGACGCUUCGUUGUGGAAUUUUCUUUGGAAAAUGCCUUUGGAAUCCUCUGUGGUUCCCAACGACCGAAGAAACCCCGGUUCGAUUCCGGGGUCGCCCA